UUUAUAAGUUUUAAUCCAGGAUAGACGUCCGCGCUUCGUCGCUGGUCCAACCUCUCUCUCUCUCUCCCCUAAAACCGCUUUUCUCCUCCGGUUUUAGGGUUUCUGCGGUCUCUCUCAGAUCUCCCUCUCUCCCUCUCUGCGGUCUCUCUUAGAUCUCUUACCCCUUUUCUUACGUCGAAUUCGGCCUAGAAUCGCUUUUCUAGGGUUUCCGAAUACCUAUUUUCCGAUCUAGGGUUUGAUCUGCAGGUACUGUUCUCCGCUGAGGUUUUUAGGGUUUUCUUGAUGGUUCUUUGGUUCCGAUCGUCUAUCUUUCAGUUAUUCUUGUUUCCUCGCCACCGAUCUGAUUCUUUGGGGAUCUUUUUUCUUAAAUUGCUCCGUACUUUUGAUUCGAUCUGACCUCAGGGCCGGAAAGUGGAUAAGAUCUCUUUGAUUUUCCUUUCUUAGGGCUUUUACGGUUCUUUUAGGUGUGGAGAUGGUGAGUUCUGAUGAUUCGGGUGGUUCGCCAGCGCCUGCUGCGAAGCAGUACGGCGUGACGAAGCCGAUCUCUGUUGCGGGACCGUCGGAGGCGGAUCUUCAGAGGAGCUUGGAGUUAGAGAAGUUCUUGGUGGAUUCGGGUCUUUAUGAAAGCAAAGAAGAAGCUGUCAAGAGAGAAGAGGUUCUGGGUCAGAUCGAUCAGAUUGUGAAAGAUUGGGUGAAGCAGCUGACCCGUCAAAGAGGUUAUACUGAUCAAAUGAUUGAGGAUGCAAAUGCUGUCAUAUUUACAUUUGGAUCCUAUAGAUUAGGGGUUCAUGGCCCUGGUGCUGAUAUUGAUACACUCUGCGUGGGACCGUCCUAUGUAAACCGAGAGGAAGAUUUUUUCAUAAUAUUGCAUGACACCCUGGCUGAAAGGGAAGAAGUGACCGAAUUACAACCAGUUCCAGAUGCUCAUGUACCAGUAAUGAAAUUCAAGUUCUGCGGAAUAUCAAUUGAUCUUCUUUAUGCCAGUAUCUCUCGCUUGGUUGUUCCUGAAGACUUUGAUAUCUCUCAGGGAUCUGUAUUGUACAAUGUUGACGAACCGACUGUUCGAAGUCUUAAUGGUUGCAGGGUUGCAGAUCAAAUUCUUCGACUUGUUCCAAAUGUUGAGCAUUUCCGAAUGACUCUCAGGUGCUUAAAGUUUUGGGCCAAAAGGCGUGGUGUUUAUUCAAAUGUUACUGGAUUUCUUGGCGGUGUGAAUUGGGCACUCUUAGUUGCUCGUGUCUGCCAGCUUUAUCCCAAUGCAGUUCCUAGCAUGCUAGUUCCCAGAUUUUUUAGAGUUUAUACACAGUGGCGUUGGCCGAAUCCUGUGAUGCUAUGUGCAAUAGAGGAGGAUGAACUUGGCUUUCCAGUAUGGGAUCCACGUAAGAAUCCUCGGGACCGAACUCAUCAUAUGCCGAUAAUUACACCUGCGUAUCCAUGCAUGAACUCCAGUUACAAUGUUUCAACAAGUACUCUUCGUGUUAUGAUGGAGCAAUUUCAGAAUGGUAACAAAAUCUGUGAGGAGAUUGAGCUGAAUAAAUCUCAUUGGAGUUCUCUAUUUGAGCCGUAUUUAUUCUUCGAGGCAUAUAAGAAUUAUUUGCAGGUUGACAUUGUUGCCGCUGAUGCUGAUGAUUUGCUCUCUUGGAAGGGCUGGGUGGAAUCCCGGUUGAGGCAGCUGACUCUGAAGAUAGAGCGGGACACAUAUGGGAUGUUGCAGUGCCACCCUUACCCUAAUGAGUAUGUAGAUACUUCCAAGCAGUGUCCGCAUUGUGCUUUUUUCAUGGGUUUGCAGAGGAAACAAGGGGUGAGAAUCCAAGAAGGCCAACAGUUUGACAUACGCGGAACGGUAGAUGAGUUCAGGCUCUCAGUGAACAUGUACAUGUUUUGGAAGCCAAGGAUGGAAAUAUAUGUGUCUCACGUUCGUAGGAAGCAGAUCCCUUCUUAUGUCUUUCCUCCUGGGUACAAGCGUCCCCGGCCUUCAAGGCACGGUAGCCACCAGCCUGGAAAAGAUUCUGGCGAAGAUGGAGGUGAAGAGUGUGGGUCUCGGUCCCCAGAGAAGCAACAGCUCAAGAGGAAAAAGGAUGCUGAAGACAACGAUGUAAAGCCAGAAAAACCAGAUAAACGUGCUUCCCUUAGCCCAAGUAGACAGGAAUCUCCUGAUACACCAGAGAAACAGGCUUCCCUUACCCCAAACAGGCAGAAUUCUGCAUCUCUAUCUCAAGUUAGCAGUCACAUAAGCUCAUGUGCAGAGGAUGUGGAGGCAGUGAAAAUGAAGAAUGCUGAGUCCAGGUCAGCCGAGGGAUUUCUCAUGAGGAGAAAAGAUUCAGAGGAUCAUCUGAUGCUGUCAACUAAACCAGAAAAGCAGGCUUCUAUUAGCCCAAAUAAGCAAGCUCUUUCUCCAUCAGAUGUCUGUAGUCGCAGGUCUGGUGGGUCAUGUCAGGCCAGCUUGGCUGAGGAUGUUAAAGUGGAGGAUUUUCCAGUGGGCAACAUGGUAGAUGCUAAGGCUGGUGAGACGGUGAAGCGGGAGAAGCGGACAUUGGAGGUUGCUGAGGCUCGGUUCCAAGAUGGCAGCAGCAGCAGCAGUUUGGAUGUCACAAGUCAGGUCAGUUCGUGUGGAGAGGUUGAAUUGGAGCUGUCUGUCGCAGGCAGCAGCGAGGAUAAUACUGAGAGUAUUGCAGAGAGUGACAACCAGGAGUCUUUGCAGGGUGAUGUGCUUGGGGCAGACUCAGAGGCGGUUUUGGGGAAUAGUUGUUUAGAUGGAAGUGGAAGAUUUCAGAAUGGCUUGACGGAAGAGUUGGAGCCAAAUGAUGCACUUGGGAUGGUUCUACAAGCUCGGAGUGGAGUCAAAUCUGAACCUGUUCAGAAACCAGUGAUAAGGCAUGCGUUUCUAAACCCUAAAUUUUAUGCUGGGGAUGUUCAUGCUAUAUUAUCUUUAUGCUGUCCUGUUUGGUUGUUUUUUUCGGGUCUUAUCAUUGUGGCAGGUUGAGUCUGACCUCGACAGCAUAAGGGAUUUGUAGUGGCAGAUAUCUCAAGCAGAUGGAGAAAGAAUUUUUAGUGGCGGAUGUUUCAAGCUAAUGGAGAAUGCAAAGCAGACAUUUGAGCCGAAGAGAUUGAGAGAGGCCAGCACUUUUGAAGGUUGGAUCCAAUCCCAUCUCAGAUGGGUUGAGCCAAUUUGUCCUGUCGGCUGAAGUCUACGAAUCUGAGACUGAAUUAUGGGUCAGGAUCAAGAGCUUUCCUGUGAGUAGCCCGGUUUCUCCAUGGCGGGCCAUCAGCAAUGGCGUUCUUUAUUGUGUAUUGGGCCGAUCUCCAAUGUCAAUCAUAGCCUUCAAUGUGAAGAUCAAGGGCUGGUUUAUGGUGGAGGCUCCAUUGCCACAUUCUCUUACUGCAAUUAGACUAAUGGACCGCAAUGACAGGUUGGUCAUGAUCGGCGGAGUGGGAAUGGCAGGAAUCACAGAAGAGAUUGGGAUAUGGGAGCUCGACGAAUCAGGCAGGGAAUGGAAAGUGAUUGGAUGGAUACAGAAAGAAAUCUGCAAUUUCUUCCUUCAAUCUCUAAGGAGACGAUUCGCUUGCACUGGGCAUGGUGAUCUCAUAUAUUUCACCAGUAAGAGGUGUCCUUAUGUUGCAAUGUAUGUUAUAUCGAGCAAUUGUAUGAAGUUCUUAGACCCUUCGCCUUGGCUUUUAGACCCUCACUAUCACAAUUCUUGUGGUUUUUCUUUCGAACCUCGACUCUGAUCUUGUUUUUGAGUUCUUCAACAUUUGAUCUGUUGUAAUUGCGAUUCAUUUAUCUUGCUAUCUGUAUCACUCAAUGAAGAAUAAUGUGAUCAAAUAUCAUUCUUUUAUUCAACA
Magnolia sinica is the source of this 3840-nucleotide RNA transcript. It is a transcript of the gene named nuclear poly(A) polymerase 4-like, with no coding region annotated. The transcript is spliced from 12 exons. NCBI's taxonomy places the organism in Eukaryota, Viridiplantae, Streptophyta, Magnoliopsida, Magnoliales, Magnoliaceae. The record is from RefSeq and is a predicted model, not a curated record.